GGGGUGCUCGAGUGGCGAACGGGUGAGUAACACGUGAGUAACCUGCCCUUGACUUUGGGAUAACUUCAGGAAACUGGGGCUAAUACCGGAUAGGAGCUCCUGCUGCAUGGUGGGGGUUGGAAAGUUUCGGCGGUUGGGGAUGGACUCGCGGCUUAUCAGCUUGUUGGUGGGGUAGUGGCUUACCAAGGCUUUGACGGGUAGCCGGCCUGAGAGGGUGGCCGGCCACACUGGGACUGAGACACGGCCCAG
This 249-nucleotide ribosomal RNA is filed under the name uncultured Actinomycetales bacterium. RNAcentral's name for it is "partial 16S ribosomal RNA". It matches the Rfam family "Bacterial small subunit ribosomal RNA", at positions 84 to 334 of the family's 1533-position model. Lineage: Bacteria; Bacillati; Actinomycetota; Actinomycetes; Actinomycetales. The record is from RNAcentral.